This is a non-coding RNA of Parasteatoda tepidariorum (common house spider), 665 nucleotides long. The record is from RefSeq and is a predicted model, not a curated record. NCBI's taxonomy places the organism in Eukaryota, Metazoa, Arthropoda, Arachnida, Araneae, Theridiidae.
AUUUUUUGAAUAAAUUUUUAUUGUAAUUUAUCAUUUGAAAUGUCGAUUACCACGUUUGUUCUCUUAUUAUUUUCUUUGCAAUUUUUACAGAACAAGAUGUGGCCUUCUUUCCUGAUAGAGUUGAGUCCUGAUGACGUUGAUUCAGGUGCAUAAUGAGAUACACCUGAAUUCAGGUUUAUUUUUGUAAGAGAGAAGAGAAAGCCUGUAAUGGCAACUAAACUGCAACUAUUUGCUACAAAGUUCGAUGCGAGGUAACUAUGGCUACAAUUUUAACAAAAAAUAUCUAAAAAGUGACAAUUAACAGAAAAAAGAAAACUAAAAAAAAAAGAAUUUAAGGGAAUUAUUAUUGCCAAACUACCUAAGUUGCGCCAUAAUAUCUAAUAAACAAAUUUGUAUGAAAUAUCAGAUUUUGAAAAACAUAUGAAAUGGCUGAAAAGCAAGGGAUAAAUUUAUAAAAAAUGCACUGAAACAAAUUUGAAUUUGUAAUAAAAGCGUCAUGCAUCAAAAAGUCAUAAUUCAGAAAAGUGAUAAUUCGUGACGAAAUAUCAUAUAUCAGAAUCUUAUAUUAAAAGAAAACCGAAACAGAAAUAAACAAUGUAAACGACGUCGAUUUAUUAGUGAAUGCAUCAGAAUGUGCUUACUUUGAAAUUCGAAUUUCAACGUCU